This 482-nucleotide ribosomal RNA is filed under the name uncultured bacterium. Its description in RNAcentral is "partial 16S ribosomal RNA". It matches the Rfam family "Bacterial small subunit ribosomal RNA", at positions 30 to 507 of the family's 1533-position model. The record is from RNAcentral.
AUUGAACGCUGGCGGCAUGCCUUACACAUGCAAGUCGAACGGUAACGGGCCUUCGGGUGCCGACGAGUGGCGAACGGGGGAGUAAUACAUCGGAACGUGCCCGAUCGUGGGGGAUAACGAGGCGAAAGCUUUGCUAAUACCGCAUACGAUCUACGGAUGAAAGCAGGGGACCGCAAGGCCUUGCGCGGACGGAGCGGCCGAUGGCAGAUUAGGUAGUUGGUGGGAUAAAAGCUGACCAAGCCGACGAUCUGUAGCUGGUCUGAGAGGAUGAGCAGCCACACUGGGACUGAGACACGGCCCAGACUCCUACGGGAGGCAGCAGUGGGGAAUUUUGGACAAUGGGCGCAAGCCUGAUCCAGCCAUGCCGCGUGCAGGAUGAAGGCCUUCGGGUUGUAAACUGCUUUUGUACGGAACGAAAAGCCUUCUUUUAAUACAGGAGGGUCAUGACGGUACCGUAAGAAUAAGCACCGGCUAACUACGUG